This 216-nucleotide ribosomal RNA is filed under the name uncultured bacterium. Its description in RNAcentral is "partial 16S ribosomal RNA". It matches the Rfam family "Bacterial small subunit ribosomal RNA", at positions 524 to 735 of the family's 1533-position model. The record is from RNAcentral.
UACGUAGGGUGCAAGCGUUAAUCGGAAUUACUGGGCGUAAAGCGUGCGCAGGCGGUUUUGUAAGUCUGACGUGAAAUCCCCGGGCUUAACCUGGGAAUUGCGUUGGAGACUGCAAGGCUGGAGUCUGGCAGAGGGGGGUAGAAUUCCAGGUGUGAGUACGGUGAAAUGCGUAGAUAUCUGGAGGAACACCGGUGGCGAAGGCGGCGAUCCGUGGAC